AUGGCUCAGGAUGAACGCUGGCGGCGUGCCUAACACAUGCAAGUCGAACGAAGCACUUUGAAGUUUUCGGACAGAUGAGUGACUGAGUGGCGGACGGGUGAGUAACGCGUGGGUAACCUGCCUCAUACAGGGGGAUAACAGUUAGAAAUGACUGCUAAUACCGCAUAAGCGCACGGAGCUGCAUGGCUCAGUGUGAAAAACUCCGGUGGUAUGAGAUGGACCCGCGUCUGAUUAGCUAGUUGGUAAGGUAACGGCUUACCAAGGCGACGAUCAGUAGCCGACCUGAGAGGGUGACCGGCCACAUUGGGACUGAGACACGGCCCAAACUCCUACGGGAGGCAGCAGUGGGGAAUAUUGCACAAUGGGGGAAACCCUGAUGCAGCGACGCCGCGUGAGUGAAGAAGUAUUUCGGUAUGUAAAGCUCUAUCAGCAGGGAAGAAAAUGACGGUACCUGACUAAGAAGCCCCGGCUAACUACGUG
Molecule: ribosomal RNA, 480 nt
Filed under: uncultured bacterium
Lineage: Bacteria
Description: bacterial SSU rRNA
Rfam family: Bacterial small subunit ribosomal RNA
Source: RNAcentral